GAAUCCUUAUGGCCGAAUAUCCAAGGUUUCCAGAGUAAAGCUGAUCUGCUCUGGGUAAGUCGGGGCCUAAGGCGAGGACGAGAGUCGUAGCCGAUGGACAACAGGUGGAGAUUCCUGUACUGCGGUAUGACAGAACUGUGGGGACACGUAAGGAAAGCGGAAGCCGGGAAUGGAAAGCCCGGUGCAAGCGGGGUACCAGUCACUUUGGCAAAUCCGGGUGGCAAUGGGAAGCCGUGAUGCGGAGCGAAAUAAAGUAGCGAAGUCCGUGAGCCAUGCGUCAAGAAAAGCCGCUAUUGUUUGUACCGUACCCGUACCGUAAACCGACACAGGUGGAUGAGGAGAGAAUCCUAAGGCCGGCGGAAGAAGCAUUGUCAAGGAACUCGGCAAAAUGGCCCCGUAACUUAGGGAUAAGGGGUGCCUGGGAAACCAGGCCGCAGAGAAUAGGCUCAAGCAACUGUUUAGCAAAAACACAGGUCUAUGCGAAACCGAAAGGUGAGGUAUAUGCUGACGCCUGCCCGGUGCUGGAAGGUUAAGAGGAGAGGUUAGCGGUAACGCGAAGCUUUGAAUUUAAGCCCCAGUAAACGGCGGCCGUAACUAUAACGGUCCUAAGGUAGCGAAAUUCCUUGUCGGGUAAGUUCCGACCCGCACGAAAGGCGUAAUGAUUUGAGCGCUGUCUCGACAAUGCAUCCGGUGAAAUUGAAGUACCAGUGAAGAUGCUGGUUACCUGCGCCAGGACGGAAAGACCCCAUGGAGCUUUACUCCAGUCUGGUACUGGGACUCGGUAUUGCAUGUACAGGAUAGGUGGGAG
Molecule: ribosomal RNA, 808 nt
Filed under: Ruminococcus sp. TF06-23
Lineage: Bacteria; Bacillati; Bacillota; Clostridia; Eubacteriales; Oscillospiraceae
Description: partial 23S ribosomal RNA
Rfam family: Bacterial large subunit ribosomal RNA
Source: RNAcentral